Platichthys flesus (European flounder) is the source of this 843-nucleotide long non-coding RNA. RefSeq lists it as uncharacterized. Lineage: Eukaryota; Metazoa; Chordata; Actinopteri; Pleuronectiformes; Pleuronectidae. The transcript has 3 exons. The record is from RefSeq and is a predicted model, not a curated record.
GUUUUCCGUGACUCGCCCGCUUCCUUCUCACUAUGUUCUCGGCUUCAGUGGUGUAUGUCUCUCCGGUCCACAUGCAGGCAGUUUCAACACAGACGCAGCGUUGAAUCACUGAACUGAUACUGCAAGAAUGUAUGCUGUCAGAUCCUCUCAUUAAUGGAGAAGAAAAAAACGUGUCUUUGAGGAUGAUGCUGGUUCUGACUCCAGGAGAGUGGGAGACACCCCAGGUCAGCCCGGUUUUGUGAACCAGGAUUGCCACAGUUCGGACGAGAUGUGCAGUAUCUCAGUGUGCGAAUGCUUGAAACUCAGAUCCUGCCUCAGCAGCUGUCGUGUAAUAAUAGUCUGCAAUAUUUAUUUAUUGCUUGACAAGAAGUGAGUAUCCUGAACCUCUGAUGACAUCGAAAGAAAACAAUGCCACAUGGUCAGCUGAUGUCAUUACAUAAAACAUAAGUGGUAGGAAAAGAUGACCUUUCAAUAUAAUUGAUUAUUGAUACACCUUCAUGUGACCUUGAAUGGUCUCAAGACCUAAUUACUGUACCUGUGGAUUGAAACUAAACCUGAUUACUGUCAGUGUUGGAGUGUUUAAUCACUGUCAGCUGAAGGAGCCUCUCAUGUGAGAUGCUUUACUCAGUAUCUGUGCUGGGAUUCAGAAAACGAUUUAAAUCAUGUCACCAAGUAUCAAAGCAUGAGCUGCUAAAGAGACGGCAACCCUGUAAUAUGCUACAUGAGCAUUUUGGUUGGUAAUAAUGACAUUUCAUAAUGACAUUAUCAUGAUGUCUUUUUUACCAUAAGAUGACAGGUGAUUGGUUAUUCUAAACAAGCAGUAGAUCAUGUAACUAAUCUUAA